This 404-nucleotide ribosomal RNA is filed under the name Holothuria arguinensis. Its description in RNAcentral is "partial 16S ribosomal RNA". It matches the Rfam family "Bacterial large subunit ribosomal RNA", at positions 1990 to 2608 of the family's 2925-position model. The record is from RNAcentral. Lineage: Eukaryota; Metazoa; Echinodermata; Holothuroidea; Aspidochirotida; Holothuriidae.
GUAUGAACGGCAAAACCUCUUCCAACUGUCUCCCCUCCCAUCCUUUUAAAUUUCCUCCUGUGUGAAGAAGCACAGAUAUAUCAGAAAGACGAGAAGACCCUGUCGAGCUUUAACCACUAAGUGGGCCUUACCCUUUUCAGGCACCACCUAAAGGUUUUGGUUGGGGCAACCAUGGAGAAAAAAGAUCCUCCAGAACAAAUAGAAGAAAGCUUUUCACUAUUUUACGACUGAGAACCAGGAACUGGUAUUCGGAAAAAGUUACCGCAGGGAUAACAGCGUCAUCUCCUCUAAGAGUCCUUAUUGACGAGGAGGUUUGCGACCUCGAUGUUGGAUUGGGGCCCCCUUAGGGUGCAGAAGCUCUAAACGGUUAGACUGUUCGUCUAUUAAAGCCCUACAUGAUCUGA